RNAcentral lists this ribosomal RNA (503 nucleotides) under uncultured bacterium. Its description in RNAcentral is "partial 16S ribosomal RNA". It matches the Rfam family "Bacterial small subunit ribosomal RNA", at positions 30 to 523 of the family's 1533-position model. The record is from RNAcentral.
AUUGAACGCUGGCGGCAGGCUUAACACAUGCAAGUCGAGCGGGGUGAUGGUGCUUGCACUAUCACUUAGCGGCGGACGGGUGAGUAAUGCUUAGGAAUCUGCCUAUUAGUGGGGGACAACAUCUCGAAAGGGAUGCUAAUACCGCAUACGUCCUACGGGAGAAAGCAGGGGAUCACUUGUGACCUUGCGCUAAUAGAUGAGCCUAAGUCGGAUUAGCUGGUUGGUGGGGUAAAGGCCUACCAAGGCGACGGUCUGUAGCGGGUCUGAGAGGAUGAUCCGCCACACUGGGACUGAGACACGGCCCAGACUCCUACGGGAGGCAGCAGUGGGGAAUAUUGGACAAUGGGGGGAACCCUGAUCCAGCCAUGCCGCGUGUGUGAAGAAGGCCUUAUGGUUGUAAAGCACUUUAAGCGAGGAGGAGGCUCUUUUGGUUAAUACCCAAGAUGAGUGGACGUUACUCGCAGAAUAAGCACCGGCUAACUCUGUGCCAGCAGCCGCCGUAA